GAUGAACGCUAGCGGCAGGCCUAAUACAUGCAAGUCGGACGGGAUUUGGGAGCUUGCUCCUAAUGAGAGUGGUGCACGGGUGCGUAACACGUAUGUAACCUACCUUAAUCGGGGGGAUAGCCUCUCGAAAGAGAGAUUAACACCGCAUAACAUAUUUUUAUGGCAUCGUAGAAAUAUCAAAUAUUUAUAGGAUUAAGAUGGGCAUGCGGAACAUUAGCUAGUUGGUAAGGUAACGGCUUACCAAGGCUACGAUGUUUAGGGGAUCUGAGAGGAUGACCCCCCACACUGGUAAUGAGACACGGACCAGACUCCUACGGGAGGCAGCAGUAAGGAAUAUUGGUCAAUGGGCGCAAGCCUGAACCAGCCAUGCCGCGUGCAGGAAGACGGCCCUAUGGGUUGUAAACUGCUUUUGUACCGGAAUAAACCCUUUUACGUGUAGAAGGCUGAAUGUACGGUAAGAAUAAGGAUCGGCUAACUCCGUGCCAGCCGCCGCCGUAA
This 498-nucleotide ribosomal RNA is filed under the name uncultured bacterium. RNAcentral's name for it is "partial 16S ribosomal RNA". It matches the Rfam family "Bacterial small subunit ribosomal RNA", at positions 28 to 523 of the family's 1533-position model. The record is from RNAcentral.